UGAGAUGACUAGGUGGCGGACGGGUGAGUAACGCGUGGGUAACCUGCCGUAUUCUGGGGGACAACAGUUGGGAAACGACUGCUAAUACCGCAUAAGCCGCACGGUACCGCAUGGUACAGUGUGAAAAAACUCCGGUGGAAUACGAUGGACCCGCGUCUGAUUAGCUAGUUGGUGAGGUAACGGCCCACCAAGGCGACGAUCAGUAGCCGGCCUGAGAGGGUGAACGGCCACAUUGGGACUGAGACACGGGCCCAAACUCCUACGGGAGGCAGGCAGUGGGGAAUAUUGCACAAUGGGGGAAACCCUGAUGCAAGCGACGCCGCGUGAGUGAAGAAGUAUCUCGGUAUGUAAAGCUCUAUCAGCAGGGAAGAAAAUGACGGUACCUGACUAAGAAGCCCCGGCUAACUACGUGCCAGCAGCCGC
Molecule: ribosomal RNA, 423 nt
Filed under: uncultured bacterium
Lineage: Bacteria
Description: bacterial SSU rRNA
Rfam family: Bacterial small subunit ribosomal RNA
Source: RNAcentral